UACAGAGGGUGCAAGCGUUAAUCGGAUUUACUGGGCGUAAAGCGUGCGUAGGCGGUUCAUUAAGUCGGUUGUGAAAUCCCUGGGCUCAACCUGGGAACUGCAGUCGAUACUGGUGAACUAGAGUGCGGUAGAGGGUGGCGGAACUCCGGGUGUAGCGGUGAAAUGCGUAGAUAUCCGGAAGAACACCGAUGGCGAAGGCAACCACCUGGGCCUGCACUGACGCUGAGGUACGAAAGCGUGGGGAGCAAACAGG
RNAcentral lists this ribosomal RNA (253 nucleotides) under uncultured bacterium. RNAcentral's name for it is "partial 16S ribosomal RNA". It matches the Rfam family "Bacterial small subunit ribosomal RNA", at positions 524 to 776 of the family's 1533-position model. The record is from RNAcentral.